This 1547-nucleotide ribosomal RNA is filed under the name Klebsiella pneumoniae. RNAcentral's name for it is "bacterial SSU rRNA". It matches the Rfam family "Bacterial small subunit ribosomal RNA". The record is from RNAcentral. Lineage: Bacteria; Pseudomonadati; Pseudomonadota; Gammaproteobacteria; Enterobacterales; Enterobacteriaceae.
AAAUUGAAGAGUUUGAUCAUGGCUCAGAUUGAACGCUGGCGGCAGGCCUAACACAUGCAAGUCGAGCGGUAGCACAGAGAGCUUGCUCUCGGGUGACGAGCGGCGGACGGGUGAGUAAUGUCUGGGAAACUGCCUGAUGGAGGGGGAUAACUACUGGAAACGGUAGCUAAUACCGCAUAACGUCGCAAGACCAAAGUGGGGGACCUUCGGGCCUCAUGCCAUCAGAUGUGCCCAGAUGGGAUUAGCUAGUAGGUGGGGUAACGGCUCACCUAGGCGACGAUCCCUAGCUGGUCUGAGAGGAUGACCAGCCACACUGGAACUGAGACACGGUCCAGACUCCUACGGGAGGCAGCAGUGGGGAAUAUUGCACAAUGGGCGCAAGCCUGAUGCAGCCAUGCCGCGUGUGUGAAGAAGGCCUUCGGGUUGUAAAGCACUUUCAGCGGGGAGGAAGGCGUAAGGUUAAUAACCUUGCGAUUGACGUUACCCGCAGAAGAAGCACCGGCUAACUCCGUGCCAGCAGCCGCGGUAAUACGGAGGGUGCAAGCGUUAAUCGGAAUUACUGGGCGUAAAGCGCACGCAGGCGGUCUGUCAAGUCGGAUGUGAAAUCCCCGGGCUUAACCUGGGAACUGCAUUCGAAACUGGCAGGCUAGAGUCUUGUAGAGGGGGGUAGAAUUCCAGGUGUAGCGGUGAAAUGCGUAGAGAUCUGGAGGAAUACCGGUGGCGAAGGCGGCCCCCUGGACAAAGACUGACGCUCAGGUGCGAAAGCGUGGGGAGCAAACAGGAUUAGAUACCCUGGUAGUCCACGCCGUAAACGAUGUCGAUUUGGAGGUUGUGCCCUUGAGGCGUGGCUUCCGGAGCUAACGCGUUAAAUCGACCGCCUGGGGAGUACGGCCGCAAGGUUAAAACUCAAAUGAAUUGACGGGGGCCCGCACAAGCGGUGGAGCAUGUGGUUUAAUUCGAUGCAACGCGAAGAACCUUACCUGGUCUUGACAUCCACAGAACUUUCCAGAGAUGGAUUGGUGCCUUCGGGAACUGUGAGACAGGUGCUGCAUGGCUGUCGUCAGCUCGUGUUGUGAAAUGUUGGGUUAAGUCCCGCAACGAGCGCAACCCUUAUCCUUUGUUGCCAGCGGUCGGCCGGGAACUCAAAGGAGACUGCCAGUGAUAAACUGGAGGAAGGUGGGGAUGACGUCAAGUCAUCAUGGCCCUUACGACCAGGGCUACACACGUGCUACAAUGGCAUAUACAAAGAGAAGCGACCUCGCGAGAGCAAGCGGACCUCAUAAAGUAUGUCGUAGUCCGGAUUGGAGUCUGCAACUCGACUCCAUGAAGUCGGAAUCGCUAGUAAUCGUAGAUCAGAAUGCUACGGUGAAUACGUUCCCGGGCCUUGUACACACCGCCCGUCACACCAUGGGAGUGGGUUGCAAAAGAAGUAGGUAGCUUAACCUUCGGGAGGGCGCUUACCACUUUGUGAUUCAUGACUGGGGUGAAGUCGUAACAAGGUAACCGUAGGGGAACCUGCGGUUGGAUCACCUCCUUACCUUAAAGAA